UGGCGGCAGGCCUAACACAUGCAAGUCGAGCGGUAGCACAGAGAGCUUGCUCUCGGGUGACGAGCGGCGGACGGGUGAGUAAUGUCUGGGAAACUGCCUGAUGGAGGGGGAUAACUACUGGAAACGGUAGCUAAUACCGCAUAACGUCGCAAGACCAAAGUGGGGGACCUUCGGGCCUCAUGCCAUCAGAUGUGCCCAGAUGGGAUUAGCUAGUAGGUGGGGUAACGGCUCACCUAGGCGACGAUCCCUAGCUGGUCUGAGAGGAUGACCAGCCACACUGGAACUGAGACACGGUCCAGACUCCUACGGGAGGCAGCAGUGGGGAAUAUUGCACAAUGGGCGCAAGCCUGAUGCAGCCAUGCCGCGUGUGUGAAGAAGGCCUUCGGGUUGUAAAGCACUUUCAGCGGGGAGGAAGGCGAUAAGGUUAAUAACCUUGUCGAUUGACGUUACCCCGCAGAAGAAGCACCGGCUAACUCCGUGCCAGCAGCCGCGGUAAUACGGAGGGUGCAAGCGUUAAUCGGAAUUACUGGGCGUAAAGCGCACGCAGGCGGUCUGUCAAGUCGGAUGUGAAAUCCC
This 576-nucleotide ribosomal RNA is filed under the name Klebsiella sp. Z1S-2. RNAcentral's name for it is "bacterial SSU rRNA". It matches the Rfam family "Bacterial small subunit ribosomal RNA", at positions 37 to 603 of the family's 1533-position model. The record is from RNAcentral. Lineage: Bacteria; Pseudomonadati; Pseudomonadota; Gammaproteobacteria; Enterobacterales; Enterobacteriaceae.